This 309-nucleotide long non-coding RNA is filed under the name Danio rerio (zebrafish). Its description in RNAcentral is "lncRNA (ENSDARG00000117227.1)". The record is from RNAcentral. Lineage: Eukaryota; Metazoa; Chordata; Actinopteri; Cypriniformes; Danionidae.
UAAUCAAAAAUAGGAAAAUAAAAUUUAAACGUUAGCAUAAAUGUUGACUAAUCUUUAAUAUUUUCCCUUUAGAUCCUUUUUAAUAUGGCGGUUCCUUAAUGACCUCAUCAUCAUCUAAGAAGUGACAUCUUUUUGGAGGGAGAACACCAGUACAAGCCUAGGUGCCUGUGCUCUGGAGUUUGUGCUGCGUCAGAGAACACUGCAAAUACGUUGAUUUCACCCGGGACACGGCAUCGCAGGAGUUUGGAAAAGUGACUCUCUUUCAUACGGUAAAAAAAGUUAUUUUGGUCCAAGUUGAUAAAUUAUUUU